Molecule: ribosomal RNA, 2986 nt
Filed under: Acinetobacter baumannii
Lineage: Bacteria; Pseudomonadati; Pseudomonadota; Gammaproteobacteria; Moraxellales; Moraxellaceae
Description: 23S ribosomal RNA
Rfam family: Bacterial large subunit ribosomal RNA
Source: RNAcentral
UAUAGUCAAGUAAUUAAGUGCAUGUGGUGGAUGCCUUGGCAGUCAGAGGCGAUGAAAGACGUGAUAGCCUGCGAAAAGCUCCGGGGAGGCGGCAAAUAUCCUUUGAUCCGGAGAUGUCUGAAUGGGGGAACCCACCUACUUUAAGGUAGGUAUUGCAACAUGAAUACAUAGUGUUGCAAGGCGAACGAGGGGAAGUGAAACAUCUCAGUACCCUUAGGAAAAGAAAUCAAUUGAGAUUCCCUCAGUAGCGGCGAGCGAACGGGGAUCAGCCCAUUAAGUUAUGUGUGUUUUAGUGGAACGCUCUGGGAAGUGCGAACGUAGAGGGNUGAUAUUCCCGUACACGAAAGGGCACACAUAAUGAUGACGAGUAGGGCGAGGCACGUGAAACCUUGUCUGAAUAUGGGGGGACCAUCCUCCAAGGCUAAAUACUCCUGACUGACCGAUAGUGAACCAGUACCGUGAGGGAAAGGCGAAAAGAACCCCUGUGAGGGGAGUGAAAUAGAUCCUGAAACCGCAUGCAUACAAGCAGUGGGAGCACCUUNNNNNNNNNNNNNNNNNNNNNNNNNNNNNUGUGGUGUGACUGCGUACCUUUUGUAUAAUGGGUCAGCGACUUAUAUUCAGUAGCAAGGUUAACCGUAUAGGGGAGCCGUAGAGAAAUCGAGUCUUAAUAGGGCGUUUAGUUGCUGGGUAUAGACCCGAAACCAGGCGAUCUAUCCAUGAGCAGGNNNNNNNNNNNNNNNNNNNNNNNNNNNNNNNNNNNNNNNNNUUGAAGGUUGGGUAACACUAACUGGAGGACCGAACCCACUGUCGUUGAAAAGCCAGGGGAUGACUUGUGGAUAGGGGUGAAAGGCUAAUCAAGCCUGGUGAUAGCUGGUUCUCCCCGAAAGCUAUUUAGGUAGCGCCUCGGACGAAUACCAUAGGGGGNUAGAGCACUGUUUCGGCUAGGGGGUCAUCCCGACUUACCAAACCGAUGCAAACUCCGAAUACCUAUGAGUACUAUCCGGGAGACAGACUGCGGGUGCUAACGUCCGUAGUCAAGAGGAAAACAAUCCAGACCGCCAGCUAAGGCCCCAAAAUCAUAGUUAAGUGGGAAACGAUGUGGGAAGGCAUAGACAGCUAGGAGGUUGGCUUAGAAGCAGCCACCCUUUAAAGAAAGCGUAAUAGCUCACUAGUCGAGUCGGCCUGCGCGGAAGAUGUAACGGGGCUAAAACUAUGUGCCGAAGCUGCGGAUGUAUACUUUGUAUACGUGGUAGGGGAGCGUUCUGUAAGCCGAUGAAGGUGUGUUGAGAAGCAUGCUGGAGGUAUCAGAAGUGCGAAUGCUGACGUGAGUAACGACAAAACGGGUGAAAAACCCGUUCGCCGAAAGACCAAGGGUUCCAGUCCAACGUUAAUCGGGGCUGGGUGAGUCGACCCCUAAGGCGAGGCCGAAAGGCGUAGUCGAUGGGAAAAUGGUUAAUAUUCCAUUACUUCUGUGUAAUGCGAUGAGAGGACGGAGAAGGCUAAAUCAGCCUGGCGUUGGUUGUCCAGGUGAAAGGAUGUAGGCAUGUAUCUUAGGCAAAUCCGGGGUACUCUAUGCUGAGAUCUGAUAGCAAGCUGUACUUGUACAGCGAAGUGGUUGAUGCCAUGCUUCCAGGAAAAGUCUCUAAGCUUCAGUUACACAGGAAUCGUACCCGAAACCGACACAGGUGGUCAGGUCGAGUAGACCAAGGCGCUUGAGAGAACUCUGCUGAAGGAACUAGGCAAAAUGGUACCGUAACUUCGGGAGAAGGUACGCUGUUGUUGGUGAUGGAACUCGCUUCCUGAGCUGACGACAGCCGCAGAAACCAGGCCGCUGCAACUGUUUAUUAAAAACAUAGCACUCUGCAAACACGAAAGUGGACGUAUAGGGUGUGAUGCCUGCCCGGUGCUGGAAGGUUAAUUGAUGGGGUUAGCGUAAGCGAAGCUCUUGAUCGAAGCCCCAGUAAACGGCGGCCGUAACUAUAACGGUCCUAAGGUAGCGAAAUUCCUUGUCGGGUAAGUUCCGACCUGCACGAAUGGCAUAAUGAUGGCGGCGCUGUCUCCAGCAGAGGCUCAGUGAAAUCGAAAUCGCUGUGAAGAUGCAGUGUACCCGCGGCUAGACGGAAAGACCCCGUGAACCUUUACUGCAGCUUGACACUGAACUUUGACCUUACUUGUGUAGGAUAGGUGGGAGGCUUUGAAGCUGGAACGCUAGUUCCAGUGGAGCCGUCCUUGAAAUACCACCCUGGUAAUGUUGAGGUUCUAACUCUGUCCCGUGAUCCGGGACGAGGACCGUGUCUGGUGGGUAGUUUGACUGGGGCGGUCUCCUCCUAAAGAGUAACGGAGGAGUACGAAGGUGCGCUCAGCGUGGUCGGAAAUCACGCGUAGAGUAUAAAGGCAAAAGCGCGCUUAACUGCGAGACCCACAAGUCGAGCAGGUACGAAAGUAGGUCUUAGUGAUCCGGUGGUUCUGUAUGGAAGGGCCAUCGCUCAACGGAUAAAAGGUACUCUGGGGAUAACAGGCUGAUACCGCCCAAGAGUUCAUAUCGACGGCGGUGUUUGGCACCUCGAUGUCGGCUCAUCUCAUCCUGGGGCUGAAGCAGGUCCCAAGGGUAUGGCUGUUCGCCAUUUAAAGAGGUACGCGAGCUGGGUUUAGAACGUCGUGAGACAGUUCGGUCCCUAUCUACCGUGGGCGCUGGAAAUUUGAGAGGAUCUGCUCCUAGUACGAGAGGACCAGAGUGGACGAACCUCUGGUGUACCGGUUGUGACGCCAGUCGCAUCGCCGGGUAGCUAUGUUCGGAAGGGAUAACCGCUGAAAGCAUCUAAGCGGGAAGCCUACCUCAAGAUAAGAUUUCCCUAGGACUUUAUGUCCUCUAAAGAGCCGUUCGAGACUAGGACGUUGAUAGGUUGGAUGUGGAAGCAUAGUGAUAUGUGAAGCUGACCAAUACUAAUUGCUCGUGAGGCUUGACUAUACAACACCCAAGCAGUUG